GUGAUGGCGACCGGCGCACGGGUGAGUAACGCGUAUCCAACCUUCCCAUGACUGGGGAAUAGCCUUGCGAAAGUAAGACUAAUACCCCAUGGUUUCCGAGGCGGACAUCCAAUUUGGAAUAAAGAUUCAUCGGUCAUGGAUGGGGAUGCGUCUGAUUAGCUUGUUGGCGGGGUAACGGCCCACCAAGGCGACGAUCAGUAGGGGUUCUGAGAGGAAGGUCCCCCACAUUGGAACUGAGACACGGUCCAAACUCCUACGGGAGGCAGCAGUGAGGAAUAUUGGUCAAUGGACGAGAGUCUGAACCAGCCAAGUAGCGUGCAGGAUGACGGCCCUAUGGGUUGUAAACUGCUUUUAUACGGGAAUAAAGUGGCUCACGUGUGGGUUUUUGUAUGUACCGUAUGAAUAAGGACCGGCUAAUUCCGUGCCAGCAGCCGCGGUAAUACGGAAGGUCCGGGCGUUAUCCGGAUUUAUUGGGUUUAAAGGGAGCGUAGGCCGCCGAUUAAGCGUGUUGUGAAAUGCCGCAGCUCAACUGUGGCACUGCAGCGCGAACUGGUUGGCUUGAGUGCGCGGAAGGCAGGCGGAAUUUGUGGUGUAGCGGUGAAAUGCUUAGAUAUCACGAAGAACCCCGAUUGCGGAGGCAGCUUGCCGCAGCGUAACUGACGCUGAAGCUCGAAAGUGCGGGUAUCGAACAGGAUUAGAUA
RNAcentral lists this ribosomal RNA (701 nucleotides) under uncultured Bacteroidota bacterium. RNAcentral's name for it is "bacterial SSU rRNA". It matches the Rfam family "Bacterial small subunit ribosomal RNA", at positions 85 to 784 of the family's 1533-position model. The record is from RNAcentral. Lineage: Bacteria; Pseudomonadati; Bacteroidota.